Non-coding RNA from Pelobates cultripes (western spadefoot toad), 222 nucleotides. The record is from the annotation of a GenBank genome assembly. Lineage: Eukaryota; Metazoa; Chordata; Amphibia; Anura; Pelobatidae.
CUUGGCGCUGCAAUCAUAUAAUUUUUCCAUUCAAUAUCGGCCUGGCAAGUUCAACGGGAACGCAGAUGGACUGUCCAGGCAAACCGAACUUCGGCCCUAACCGUCAGCCGGACAGUCCCAAGUUGACCCAAAAAGGAUCAAUCCGGGUCUGCCGGGGUGUUCCACAAAAGGGGAGCCAUGUAACACAUGGAAGAGCCUAACCUGCUUUUAUGAGGAUUUUAC